AGAGAUGUCUGGGCCUUGACCAAUGAGAUCUUCAGGAGUACUUCAGCAGCUGUUUCGGAUUUUUCUCUGUGGAUGUCCUCAUGGGACUAAGUGGAAAUUGGAAAAGUAUCAUCAAACUCUUCUUGAGAUUCCUUUUUGAUAAGGAAGAUUGCAGAAAAAUUUGUGGCUGAAGAGGAUGCACUGAGAAGAAAGAUAACUGCCCUUAUUCUAAAUCCCAAUCUUCAAUCAAGUACUAAGAUGGUCUGCACUUUGCCUACUGCCCUGCUGGGAAAAUGCACUGACCAGUCAUCAGCAAAUUCUAGCCCAUUCAGCAGGUUGAAAAGCUACUGACCAGGAAGGUCAUUUCCAGCAUUUCCCAUAGCUUCAAGAUUACUAGUACAGACGCAGAAGGUAAUGUAAAACAAAGCCACUUAAUCCGGUGAAGUUUUCUUGUGACAGGGUCCCUUUAAAGACUAUUAUCCUGAUUUCCAUCCACCCUUUGAUAGAAUCAAUGUGUACUAGAUUUAAGCAGAAUCCUGUAAAUAUCCUCCCUAUUUAUAUCUUUAACAUAAAACAGCCUAAGUGGCACAUGACAGGUGAGGAGAACAGCACUAUGUUGUAGGCUAAGCAGACCCAAAGCCACUCACUCACUCACUCAGCCAGCCAAACAAGGUCCCUUCAGAGGGGCUUUCACAGACAUGCAUCUACUGACCACUCCUGAGUAAUAAUCUAUUCUCUGCUAGUAAACAGUGCAGAUGUAUUUUAAUAAGAGGAUUGCGGCCUGGCACGCUGGCUCAUGCCUGUAAUUCCAGCACUUUGGGAGGCCGAGGCAGGCGGAUCACGAGGUCAGGAGAUCGAGACCAUCCUGGCUAACACAGUGAAACCCCGUCUCUACUAAAAAUACAAAAAAUUAGCUGGGCAUGGUGGCAGGCGCCUGUAGCCCCAGCUACUCGAGAGGCUGAGGCAGAAGAAUGGCCUGAACCCAGGAGGCGGAGCUUGCAGUGAGCUGAGAUCACGCCACUGCACUCCAGCCUGGGCAACAGAGCAAGACUCUGUCUCAAAAUAAAAUAAAAUAAAAUAAAAAAUUAAUAAGAGGAUUGCAACUUUGUGAUCUUUUUGAUUUUGGAGCAUUCGGAAACAAGAAUGGCCAUCCCACCACGACAGCAAUGUCAAGCCAGUAAGCCCUGACUUGCUUUUCAUAGCUGCCACCCCCAGGUAGGAGUCCUGGGAGCUGGUGAAGGACAGCUGCUCUGUGAGCUUCAAGGUCUUCUUUCAGAAUGCCAUUGUGAUUACAGAGCCUAUAAAAUAAAAAAGAUGCUGCAGGAGAUGCUUAUUUAAGCACAGAUCACCAGCUUCUAGAAUCUAUGAUGGUUCUUCAUGGUUUACUGAAAUAUAUCUGUAAUAUAAUCUGGACAUUAAAAUGCAGCAACUAUACUGUCUCUCAACAAAGACAUAAAAUGGGGCAGUUUGAAAAACUUGUUUGCGUGUAUGCGGCAAUUUUAAAUCCAUCAGAGGAAGUAACUUUUAACCCUUUGUUGACUUUAAUGAUGUUCAAAUCCACAGCUGGGCAAUCUCGUUCCACAUUCCACCUGAAUGACAGGUAUGCUAGAUAAUCUUAACAGCAGAAAAGGCUAAUUUUAUAUUGUCAAUCAUAACAAAGUUAGAUCCCCACAACUCGUAUGAAAUUUACUUAAAUUGUCACUGCUAAGAAAUUGAAAACUUCUGGCUGAAGUAUAGGUUACAUCCUCUAUUUCUGAAUGUAGAAAAAUGACUAUUAGUUUUCCAUUCAGAUCCUAUUGCAGUCAAAUUUUCUUUAUUCUUAAUCAGAAUAGGAAGGCAUGGAAAGAGGGAUUUAUCUUUUAUUAUCUAUAUCCAGUCUACUGAGUAAGUGAUAAGAGUCUAAAAAUUUGGUCACUGUUUUAGGUUAGGUCUGUCGUUGUAUCACAGUAGCCUUCAAAUAGAUUAGUUACCAUCUUUUAAAAAAUGACUAUUUUGAGGGAUGCAUGAUUCUAAAAAGCUAUAGGAGAAGACAAAACAGUGUUUCUACUUUAAAGGAGCUGUUCACAUUUGUAGUUGGGAAUAUUCAACACACACCCCAAAAAGAAAAUGAAGAUUAGUUACAAAGCAACUUAUAAAGCAAUAUGUUAAUUUGCAAGGUACUAAUUUGUAAAUAGCACUACAGUUGGUGAAGUUACUGGACCUAGUUGAUGGCUAUGUGCCUGAUGUGAUAAGGAUGAAGGAGAUGUGGUCCAUCUAUUGGAGGGUGAGUGACAACUGCAGACUCAGGCUUAGCCCUACUCUGAAGUGUACCUUUAUGCUGGGAAGGAAUAAUAACAGGCACACAAGAUUCAAGUGCUAUUCCUGACCCUUAUCCACACUGUUGGUGCUCCAGCUCCUUGCCAAUUCCCAGGCUUCUGUCUAAACUCUAAGCCUGGAUUCUCAGUUCUUGUAGGUCAGACCCCGAGUUGGGUCCUUCACUCCUGGGUUCUGCUGCCCCAAAGCUUCCAGACUUCAGGCCUAUCUGACUUAUAGUACCUAUGAAUACCUCUUAUUGCCUAGGCAAAAUCUGGAUCCUAAUUCUUCCUGGAAGCCUUUAUCUUGUCAUCACUCAAUUUCCAGAAUAACAGCUGCCCUUAAGAGGUCCCACCAAUGGUGAGCCAAUUUCAGAGUAGUAAAAGAGAGCCUGUAAUCAACGGUGAGAGGUAUAGGGCAGGCCAUCAGACAAUCAGGAAUUAUGAAGCGGUAAAGACACAGAGAGAUCACUGGAGUCUCAGGGGCUUCACUAAGGAGGAGGAACGUGAGCCAGGCAGGUUUUAGAGAGAAGGGGAGAUGACAUUUGAAACUAAGGAGAGACACAGGCAAAGGUGAUGGGAAAUGACAGGGUAAGAGUGGUGUGGGGACCAGCAAGGGAGACAAGUUUGGCUGGGUAGGGGUUGCUGUUGGUCAUAGUAGGAUAGCAAUGGAAAAUUAAAUUCAAUAUGAAACUCUGGAAAGAAUACAGCAAUAAGCUUGUGGAUUUCUGAGCCAUUGCUGGUUUCUCGAAAGCAGUGUUUUUCAGAGGGUUAGCCUGGCAGCCUUGCAAGGAUGGAGUUGGUGAGGAGAGAGACCUGAGGCCCAGAGACCAGUCAGGAGACUGACUUUGUGCUGUAGGUGGCAGAGGAAGAGCAGGUAAGUGGGUGAGGCAAGGGAGGAAGAAACAGUCCUUCAUCGCUCACCUGGGGAGCACUCAGCUGACUACAGGGAAGGUAACGGAGACCAUGCUGGCUGCUGGUGGGGUGGGGCUGUGGAGAGCUGGGGCCAGUGCCUCCAUCAAAAGCUCCCCCUGAGGAGUGUGUGUCCCAGUGAACCUAGAUCUUCUCAGUUUUUAAGAGAAGCUGGAAGUUUAUAAUUGCAAGUUUUGUUUUUAUUUAACAGCUCCCAAUUUUUAAAAUGUGGUGACUAAUUCAAAAGGUUGCCUACCCACUGACAGGACAAAGAGAACCUAUCUGCAGCCCAAGGUAGGCCUGCAGGCCACCAGCUUAUGAUCUCCAAGCUUAGAUUCCCUUUAGUCCCACUUCCCAAACCAGGAUGCAAACCUGGAGCAAGGACCAUGGCUUAAUGUUUUUGGAUAUCUUCUAAAAGGUUAGUACUGUGCAGUACUGGAAACUGGCUGACACUCCAUGGUGCUGGUGGAUGCUGCAGUGGGAGCAGGUUCCCUCCAUGGUAAGGUGUAUUUUAUCUUUGCCAUCCUUAGGAAUGGUGACAACAGAAGGCAGACUGACUUUUAGUGGUCUCGUUAUUGUUUUUAAAUUCUUCCAUAGAAUGCACCUACUUAUUACCUGCAUCUGCACUCCUCCGACAUCCCCUCACUACCACCAUGGCAUGCAUGCCAGUGCUCAGUAAUGCUUGAUUGUCCUGCCAGGACAAAUCCCAGAUAACCUUUCUUCUUUGCCGAUCUUAUCAAUAUAAGUGUCAGGCUUACUUAGACUAGCUCAUCUCAUCACCCUCUAGAAGCUUCCCUGACUACCUUACUCAUAGGGAUCUUUCUUACCCCUGAAUUCUUUAGCACAAAAGAGACACCAUCUUACCUCUUACCUUGUGCUAUUCCAUAGUUAAGUCACCUCUGCCGAGUCUUCUCAACAAGAGCAAAAGCCUGGUGAGAAUAGCAACUGCACUUCUAAAUUUUUUACUUUUAUUUCUCAUAGCAUUCGGCACAAUGCUGAGCAUACAACUUAAUGAUACUACAUGUCAAAUGACAAGCUGAAACUUAAACCCAGAUGAAAGAAAUUCAUAUGACACACUUAUCUUUACAGUAUUUUUUUUUUUUUAAUAAAAAUGAGAUGGGGUCUUGCUUUGUUGCCCAGGCUGGUCUCAAACUCUUGAGCUCAAGCAAUCCUCCCACCUUGGCCUCCCAAAGUUCUGCGAUUACAGACAUGAGCCACCACACCUGGCUGACAGUAUUUUUAUAAUGGUUGUUGUUACACCAGUCCAGGGUUUCCCCCUUGGUACUGGGUGAUCAAUCAGCUGGCCACAAGCACUAUGCACAGAGCUUAUGAUCUACUCUAACUCAGAACUUUCUCGGACUAAAAGAUGAGCUGGUUUAUGCUGAGGAUUUCUAACAGUGCUCUUCCCAGAUAGCAGACUUUAGUUUAUAAAAUAUUCAUCAGUUCUUUUGCUCAAAAGAACUCAACUAAAGAAUUCAAACGCUGUAUGGAAUUAAAUAUUAAAGACUAUGUGUUAUAGAAACACUGUAACUAUUUUAGAACUCAAGACCUCAAUUCCUUUUUCUAUGUGCGUUCCUGCCAAAAUCAUUCCAGCUAGAAGGGCACUGGCCUGAGGAACCUGUGUCCAGUCUCUGGCACCAACAUGCUAGCCCUACCAUCACCUUGUUCUCUGUGAGGUCUGGCAGGUGGAGGAACCUGCUGAAUGACAAGUAACUUGUGGACACAAAUGGCACUUUAAAGAUGCAUAGCUUAUCUUAUCCAACGACAGUUAAAGCACAUAAUAAAUGUAAAAAAUUUGGCCAAAUUAAAAAUAAUUGCUUUCUAGCUUCAUUUUCAGUCACACAGGAUUUAGGAGACAACUCCACUCCAGGCUAUUGGGAACACUGAAAUUAAGGGCUUUUGUGACUUUGGUUCCCUGUGAGCAAGAUGAUCUGCAAGUGGCGACAUGAACUGAUUACCAAUCACUGACUUCAGGAGGAAGCAAGUUCUGGAGGCUGGGAAGUCCAAGAUCAAGGCAGGCGCCAGCAGACUCUGGGUCUGACAAGGGAAUGAGAAGCAGCAAGUUAAAUGCAGAACAGAAAUGAAGCUGUUAGACCAAAUUUUCAGCUUCUCACAUGGCACCUCUAUCUGUGAAUACGAUUUUCUCACUUGUUAGAGCCUCUGUCACAUAAUACACUUGCCACAGAAUACUGCCACAGAGAAGAGCAAAGGAAGACAGCUGGCUAGCCAAAUGUCCCCACAAUGGAAUAGUGCCUGAAAGACCCAUGGGGGAGCUGUCCAUCAGAGCCACACUCCCCACCAGCUCCUUGGAAGGCACCCCCAAAAGCAGGAGUGGAGAGUCCAAAUGUCAUCUGCCCUCGAACACCACAUGAAAUGGGGAGUACCCUUCACUCAGAGAGCAGCCCACCCCUCUUCCUCCUUUCAGGGAGGGUUACCACAGUGGAAGUGAAGCUCCUCAACAAGCCUUCAGCUCUGUGAUGAAAUUCCCUGGUCCUCCACACCUAUCCAUCCCUGACAGAGUAUGAUCAGUUUGCUUCUAUUUCUAGUAGAAUAUAUUUCACAGCAUAAUAGUUCAAAGAAACCUUACAACCCUA
RNAcentral lists this long non-coding RNA (5776 nucleotides) under Homo sapiens (human). Its description in RNAcentral is "PREDICTED lncRNA (TCONS_00169940)". Lineage: Eukaryota; Metazoa; Chordata; Mammalia; Primates; Hominidae. The record is from RNAcentral.